CAGUCGCCGCGGGAAUACGAAGGGUGCAAGCGUUAAUCGGAAUUACUGGGCGUAGAGCGUGCGUAGGCGGUUUGUUAAGUCUGCUGUGAAAUCCCCGGGCUCAACCUGGGAAUGGCAGUGGAUACUGGCAAGCUAGAGUGUGUCAGAGGAUGGUGGAAUUCCCGGUGUAGCGGUGAAAUGCGUAGAGAUCGGAAGGAACAUCUGUGGCGAAGGCGACUAUCUGGGCCAACACUGACACUGAGGCACGAAAGCGUGGGGAGCAAACAGGAUUAGAUACCCGAGUAGUCCCUGUCUCUUAUAU
RNAcentral lists this ribosomal RNA (301 nucleotides) under uncultured bacterium. Its description in RNAcentral is "partial 16S ribosomal RNA". It matches the Rfam family "Bacterial small subunit ribosomal RNA", at positions 509 to 809 of the family's 1533-position model. The record is from RNAcentral.